CUGCUGUUGAUGUACAUUGUAUUGAGCUUCUACACAAAAAAAGGAUACGAUCUCCACAAAAUAGAUUGUAGCGGUUUCAAUUUUAAAAGUCAAAAAACCUCAAUAAACUCAAACAUCUUCAAGUAGCAUUAGAUGGUGGCAAGUCACUGCAAGUUCUCUUGUUGUGGCCUACUAGUUCACACUUCUUGCACUUCAUCUUCAAACCUACCCUACUUGCAUUCCCUGUUGAUGCACCCGCACUGCUUGAAGAUGCCUUCACAUUGCUUGAUGAACCUCUGCCUUCAUGUUCAUUAGCUUCCUUUCGUCUUGCCUUUUUUGGUCUCCCCGCCUUUUUUAAGUCGAAAGGUGGUUUCAAAGAGUCUGGGUUAGGCCAUAAAUCUGGACUUGUCAUUGGUGAAAUAGAUGGUGUAUAUGUUCUAAUGUAUGCCUCUUUCUUGUAGAUGUCAUCUAUAUAGUCAAUAACACUCAUUCCCCUUGAAGUUAGAGAUGCAAUCACAUGACAACAUGGGAUCCUAGUCAAUUGCCAAGCUCGACAAGAACAAAUUUUUGCUAUGACAUCCACUACAUUUAGGGUUCCAACAUGAACCCAAGUUUUUUUUUAAGCAAAUUACAUGAUCACCACAAUAUUAAAUAAACUCUUGUAUUAAGUGGUAAUCUUGAAACAACACAAACUAAUCAAACUUGAGCUAAGAACUUCAAAGCCAAAAGUAUUCUUGUAAAAUGGAAAAAACUUGGCUAAAAUACCUAUCAUUCCAUAUGAAUUCAAGCAUAAACCUCAAAGAACUCCAUAGAAAAUAUACAAAAUCACUAGGAUUACAUAUUUAUUACUCAUCUGGAGGAGUAGAAUGGAGUGCAAAUGGGUAGGAGACUAGGGUUCUUCGCUGGAAAUGAAGAAAUUGGGAAAAUGGUGCUCAAUUCACUUCUUUCAGUUCUUUGGCAGUG
This 942-nucleotide long non-coding RNA is filed under the name Olea europaea subsp. europaea. Lineage: Eukaryota; Viridiplantae; Streptophyta; Magnoliopsida; Lamiales; Oleaceae. The record is from RNAcentral.